GGAGAAUAUAUGGUAUAUGCUAGCAUUUCCAAUCUUGCAUCUCCCAGCAGCACCAAAAAUAGCUUGUUUUAUUUUAUCAUUAUUUAUGUAAGAUGAAAUCAUAUGACACUUAUUUAAUAAUGAUAAAAUAAAAACUAGCAUUUUUAUUCAUUAUGUUCCAAGUACUGUGAAAAGUUCCAUAUAUGUUUUAAGCAUUAUCUACUCCUACAACUAUAUGUAGUAACUAUCAUAAUGCCCGUAAAAUGAGAAUGAAAGUUGAAUCACCUAAGGUCUUCCAACUAAAACCCAAUUUCAUCUGAUUCCAAAGCUUGCUUCAUUAAUCACUCUGUUAAAAUUGUGCAACACAUCAUUGCAAGAGAUACCUCAUUAUGAAUUCAAAUAGAAAUUGUAUACAUACCUGCAAAAUUUUUAAAAAUUAUCUUCUCCUUAUUUUCUAACUGUUUGAGGGGUGCAUGUGACCUGGAACAUGGAGAAGCCCCCCAGACAUGCGCUGUUUGUUUCAGAUGAACCUGGGGUUAUGUCCCACUUCAUGGGCAUGCUCUGUCUUCCUGGGCAAGAUAUUUAGUCUCUCUGAGCUCACUUGCCUCAUAGGAUUUCUGUGAGAGGUACUUUAUUUUGCAAAACUCUUUUAAAGUGACAAACAUAGUAAGCAUUAAAUACAUAUAGACUAUUGUUGCUGUCACCAUCAUCAUCAACCAUGACCCUCAUCAUCCCUCUAAGCACUAAUAUGACCCAGUGUGGCUGAGGUGAUGCCAGUUCUCUUGGCAUUCUGUCCAGAUAGUGAAAGUCCUAAACCCCACAAGGUUUACUGAAAAAUAUCCCCAAAUAUCUUGGUAUGUAUCUUCCCCAAAAUGUAUCUUCCCAGGAAUGGACCCCUCAGGGAUACCAGUGCAUAUUUGGGACUUCAGAAUUUCUCUCCCCUACCGGGUUCAACUGGGUUAGGCUCACUUCAUUUUGAAGCAUCUCAGGCUCUUACUGGUUUCCUAGGGAAUGGUUUCUUAGAUCUGCACUGCCCUAGGUUAUCAGAGGGACUGGAAUGGCUGAGUCAGAGGCCUUGAGAAACACUAUACAGCUUGAACAAGGUCAACCAGGCCAGCAAGGGCCACUAGGAGGAAGAGAACUCUAAUAGAAGUUACCUCCAAGGGGUCACUUACCUCCUGGGGUAGCAUUGAAGGAACAGAAACAGAAGGGAAAGUAGCUUUGUAUUCACCCUCAUCAAAUCCUUUUGGCAUUUUUGUCCUUUGAGUCUACACUGCUGGAAGUAUUUGAGUAAAGAUGAGCCUGCCCAAAUGCGGCCCCUGGAUCCACCUCUCACCACCUCCUCAGGGAAGACCCCAGAAGUGCAUCCUGGAUGUACCUAUGAGAAGCAUGAAGAUGCAACCCUGGAAAAUAUUGGGCAGGUAGUAGCCAAUCUGGUGCUUUCUAGUAGCACUCCCCUGAACCCACCAAAAUAGCUGGUUAUGUUUCUUUCUUUCCCACACUUGUUCAAUGUUUUUUAGUAUAGUUCUGAACAGGGUGGGUCUUCUACCAGUAAAAUCUGGAAGCUGAGUGUUUGGUCAUGGUGGCACCUCAGUUUAAGACUUUAGGUCCCACCUUAGAGCUGUUUAAGAGGGAAAUUCUGUAGAGGAGGGGUGCCCCUCAACUGGCAGUACUGAAGGCUUUGGUGGUGGGAGAGGAGGUGCGGAGGGAGGGCUUAUCUCGAUUCUUAUAGAAUCCAUUAAUUCCUAGAGCAUCUUUCAGCUCAGGCAUAUUAUCCAUCUAUACACAGUGACUCAACCUGAAAAUUGGGAAGAACAGUUCAGUGGAAGAAGAGGUGCUUAUGGUGGGGACAGGUUGCCAACAAAGAAGGUGGCAGAGAUGGUGUGUCCUAUGGUCUCCCUGAUGACAAUCAAUUCAUGUGGCCUUGAGUGUUGUGUAUCGGAUGCGCACACAGGACUCAUCAUCUUAUCUCUGAGUAAGCAGGUAU
RNAcentral lists this long non-coding RNA (1966 nucleotides) under Marmota monax (woodchuck). The record is from RNAcentral. Lineage: Eukaryota; Metazoa; Chordata; Mammalia; Rodentia; Sciuridae.